This 292-nucleotide ribosomal RNA is filed under the name uncultured bacterium. Its description in RNAcentral is "partial 16S ribosomal RNA". It matches the Rfam family "Bacterial small subunit ribosomal RNA", at positions 505 to 796 of the family's 1533-position model. The record is from RNAcentral.
GUGUCAGCAGCCGCGGUAAUACGGGGGGGGCGAGCGUUGUUCGGAAUUACUGGGCGUAAAGGGCGCGUAGGCGGUCUGCUAAGUUGGAUGUGAAAACUCUGGGCUUAACCCAGAGCCUGCAUUCAAAACUGACAGGCUAGAGUUCUGGAGGGGGAAGCGGAAUUCCUGGUGUAGCGGUGAAAUGCGUAGAUAUCAGGAGGAACACCGGUGGCGAAGGCGGCUUCCUGGACAGAAACUGACGCUGAGGCGCGAAAGCUAGGGGAGCAAACAGGAUUAGAUACCCGCGUAGUCC